Molecule: small nuclear RNA, 20 nt
Filed under: Arabidopsis thaliana (thale cress)
Lineage: Eukaryota; Viridiplantae; Streptophyta; Magnoliopsida; Brassicales; Brassicaceae
Description: snRNA_10292
Source: RNAcentral
CUCGGCGAUAAAAGCUCCCG